This 450-nucleotide ribosomal RNA is filed under the name uncultured bacterium. RNAcentral describes it as "partial 16S ribosomal RNA". It matches the Rfam family "Bacterial small subunit ribosomal RNA", at positions 354 to 796 of the family's 1533-position model. The record is from RNAcentral.
GUGGGGAAUUUUGGACAAUGGGCGCAAGCCUGAUCCAGCAAUGCCGCGUGCAGGAAGAAGGCCUUCGGGUUGUAAACUGCUUUUGUACGGAACGAAACGGUCCGGGUUAAUACCCUGGGCUAAUGACGGUACCGUAAGAAUAAGCACCGGCUAACUACGUGCCAGCAGCCGCGGUAAUACGUAGGGUGCAAGCGUUAAUCGGAAUUACUGGGCGUAAAGCGUGCGCAGGCGGUUUUGUAAGACAGGCGUGAAAUCCCCGGGCUCAACCUGGGAAUUGCGCUUGUGACUGCAAGGCUGGAGUGCGGCAGAGGGGGAUGGAAUUCCGCGUGUAGCAGUGAAAUGCGUAGAUAUGCGGAGGAACACCGAUGGCGAAGGCAAUCCCCUGUGCCUGCACUGACGCUCAUGCACGAAAGCGUGGGGUGCAAACAGGAUUAGAAACCCGAGUAGUCC